This 429-nucleotide ribosomal RNA is filed under the name Verrucomicrobiota bacterium. Its description in RNAcentral is "Verrucomicrobia bacterium partial 16S ribosomal RNA". It matches the Rfam family "Bacterial small subunit ribosomal RNA", at positions 355 to 776 of the family's 1533-position model. Lineage: Bacteria; Pseudomonadati; Verrucomicrobiota. The record is from RNAcentral.
UAGGGAAUCUUCCGCAAUGGACGAAAGUCUGACGGAGCAACGCCGCGUGAGUGAAGAAGGAUUUCGGUUCGUAAAACUCUGUUGUUAGGGAAGAAAAAAUGUAUAGUAACUAUAUACAAAAGAGACGGUACCUAACCAGAAAGCCACGGCUAACUACGUGCCAGCAGCCGCGGUAAUACGUAGGUGGCAAGCGUUGUCCGGAAUUAUUGGGCGUAAAGCGCGCGCAGGUGGUUUAGAAAGUCUGAUGUGAAAGCCCACGGCUCAACCGUGGAGGGUCAUUGGAAACUAAUAAUCUAGAGUGCAGGAGAGAAAAGUGGAAUUCCUAGUGUAGCGGUGAAAUGCGUAGAGAUUAGGAGGAACACCGGUGGCGAAAGCGGCUUUUUGGCCUGCAACUGACACUGAGGCGCGAAAGCGUGGGGAGCAAACAGG